RNAcentral lists this ribosomal RNA (492 nucleotides) under uncultured bacterium. RNAcentral's name for it is "bacterial SSU rRNA". It matches the Rfam family "Bacterial small subunit ribosomal RNA", at positions 9 to 502 of the family's 1533-position model. The record is from RNAcentral.
GAGUUUGAUCCUGGCUCAGGAUGAACGCUAGCGGCAGGCUUAACACAUGCAAGUCGAGGGGUAUAGUUCUUCGGAACUAGAGACCGGCGCACGGGUGCGUAACGCGUAUGCAAUCUACCUUUCACAGAGGGAUAGCCCAGAGAAAUUUGGAUUAAUACCUCAUAGUAUAAUUGAAUGGCAUCAUUUAAUUAUUAAAGUCACAACGGUGAAAGAUGAGCAUGCGUCCCAUUAGCUAGUUGGUAAGGUAACGGCUUACCAAGGCGACGAUGGGUAGGGGUCCUGAGAGGGAGAUCCCCCACACUGGUACUGAGACACGGACCAGACUCCUACGGGAGGCAGCAGUGAGGAAUAUUGGUCAAUGGGCGCAAGCCUGAACCAGCCAUGCCGCGUGCAGGAUGACGGUCCUAUGGAUUGUAAACUGCUUUUGUACAGGAAGAAACGCUGGUUCGUGAACCAACUUGACGGUACUGUAAGAAUAAUGAUCGGCUAACU